This 720-nucleotide ribosomal RNA is filed under the name Bacillus siamensis. RNAcentral's name for it is "bacterial SSU rRNA". It matches the Rfam family "Bacterial small subunit ribosomal RNA", at positions 52 to 750 of the family's 1533-position model. Lineage: Bacteria; Bacillati; Bacillota; Bacilli; Caryophanales; Bacillaceae. The record is from RNAcentral.
UACUGCAAGUCGAGCGGACAGAUGGGAGCUUGCUCCCUGAUGUUAGCGGCGGACGGGUGAGUAACACGUGGGUAACCUGCCUGUAAGACUGGGAUAACUCCGGGAAACCGGGGCUAAUACCGGAUGGUUGUCUGAACCGCAUGGUUCAGACAUAAAAGGUGGCUUCGGCUACCACUUACAGAUGGACCCGCGGCGCAUUAGCUAGUUGGUGAGGUAACGGCUCACCAAGGCGACGAUGCGUAGCCGACCUGAGAGGGUGAUCGGCCACACUGGGACUGAGACACGGCCCAGACUCCUACGGGAGGCAGCAGUAGGGAAUCUUCCGCAAUGGACGAAAGUCUGACGGAGCAACGCCGCGUGAGUGAUGAAGGUUUUCGGAUCGUAAAGCUCUGUUGUUAGGGAAGAACAAGUGCCGUUCAAAUAGGGCGGCACCUUGACGGUACCUAACCAGAAAGCCACGGCUAACUACGUGCCAGCAGCCGCGGUAAUACGUAGGUGGCAAGCGUUGUCCGGAAUUAUUGGGCGUAAAGGGCUCGCAGGCGGUUUCUUAAGUCUGAUGUGAAAGCCCCCGGCUCAACCGGGGAGGGUCAUUGGAAACUGGGGAACUUGAGUGCAGAAGAGGAGAGUGGAAUUCCACGUGUAGCGGUGAAAUGCGUAGAGAUUUUGAGGAACACCAGUNGGCUAAGGCGACUUCUCUUGGUCUGUAACUUGACGCCUUAU